AGACGAACUGUUCGAACGUUAUUCGGAAUCACUGGGCUUAAAGGGUGCGUAGGCGGUAUUAUAAGUGAGAUGUGAAAUCCCUCAGCUUAACUGAGGAACCGCGUUUCAAACUGUGGAACUGGAGUGAGACAGGGGUAAGCGGAACUUGCGGUGGAGCGGUGAAAUGCUUUGAUAUUGCAAGGAACACCAGUGGCGAAGGCGGCUUACUGGGUCUCAACUGACGCUGAAGCACGAAAGCCAGGGUAGCGAACGGGAUUAGAUACCCCGGUAGUCCUGGCUGUAAACGCUGAGUACUUGGUCGGAGGGCGCUCCAUAGCUUUCCGGCCGGAGCGAAAGUGUUAAGUACUCCGCCUGGGGAGUAUGGUCGCAAGGCUGAAACUCAAAUGAAUUGACGGGG
This 397-nucleotide ribosomal RNA is filed under the name uncultured bacterium. RNAcentral describes it as "partial 16S ribosomal RNA". It matches the Rfam family "Bacterial small subunit ribosomal RNA", at positions 523 to 918 of the family's 1533-position model. The record is from RNAcentral.